CACUGGCAAAAGAAAUUCUGCUUGUUCAUGUAAGAAGGGAAGCUUUUAGAAAACUUUCGGAAGUAUGAAUACUGAGACCAUUUUAAGGCUAUCUUUUAACAAACAGCCAAAGCAAUAAAACCAAUACUAAAUCCAUAAAACAAAAGGAUUGGAUUGCUUAAGUAAAAAGAGGCCAGAGUGAAAGCCUGACAGGACAAAGAAGACCAGGAAUGAGGGAAGAAAAA
This is a long non-coding RNA of Dromaius novaehollandiae (emu), 224 nucleotides long. RefSeq lists it as uncharacterized. The record is from RefSeq and is a predicted model, not a curated record. The transcript is spliced from 3 exons. Lineage: Eukaryota; Metazoa; Chordata; Aves; Casuariiformes; Dromaiidae.